This 1584-nucleotide long non-coding RNA is filed under the name Lupinus angustifolius (narrow-leaved blue lupine). RNAcentral's name for it is "long non-coding RNA (LANG_LNC003355)". The record is from RNAcentral. Lineage: Eukaryota; Viridiplantae; Streptophyta; Magnoliopsida; Fabales; Fabaceae.
UUAAUUUCUGUGAACGUGAGAGAGAUAUUCAAAUCUUGGAACUGUGGGUUUAUAUCUGGGGUGAUCUCGUAGAAGUUGCCAAACUUGUUUGAAUAUAUGGGUUUGUUGCUUCUCAAGUUGAAUGGGCCAGAUUCAGAAGGUUUGCCUUCACCUGAUGAAGAUUGAGCAUGUUUUCUCAAUUCUUGGAUUUGUUUCUUUGACACUCUCACUAUGACUCCCUCAUCUUGGUGGCUCUGCUCUUGUCCACGCCUUUGUUUCUCAUUUUCUUGCAACUCAUCAUCUCCUAAAAGAACCCUUUCUAUCUCUUCGUAACGGGUCUGUAUAUGAAAUCAUAACAAACAAACACAUGAUCAUUACUAUAUAUACUUAAUAAGUAACUAAGAAAUUGAUGCAUAUAAGAUGUGAUACAUUGAAGGUGGCCUCUAAAGUGUUCUUGCUGAAGCCGCUGAAGUAGGAUUGUUGGUCUUUAGUUGUUGAUGGAUAGAAAUCCUAUACAUAUAUAGAGAUAGAGAGAAAUGAGAAAGAUAUUAAAAACUACAUGGUGUUAGAUAUGAAAUGGGUGUGAAAGUAAGUGAGUUGAUAUAGUAAUAAACAAUGAUAUGGUAUGAUAGGAGAAAGAACAUUACAUAAAGCUUUCCAGGGUUGUUGAUGGGUAUUGCGAGCUUAGCUACUCUAAGAUUCUGGUUGUCAUCAGGGUUAAGGAUAUAAGAAGUUGUGCCAGCUGGGAGUCUGAGAGCAUCACCUUGCUCAAGGUUGUAUACUUGUCUUUUAUCAGGGUUCACUAUCGUGAUUGUGGCUCUACCUGCAAUCACAAAUAACUAAUGCAAUAAAUCAUUCAUUCACAUUAAUUAAAUGAUGGAAAUGAAUACUAGUACUAGUAAGUAAGCUUUUAAAUUUGGAUCCACGGGUGCUAUAGAUGCCAACAUGCCAACAUGUUAAGGUUUCAGUAGCCUUCAAAACAACGACCUAUAUUUAAAAAUUUAUAAUAAUUACCAUUGAGUACAACGAGGAUGAAGUCAGCAUCAGAGUGUUUAGGGAGAAUGAGAGUGUUUGGUUUUGAUUGGAACUCAAUAAUACGGUAAUUUUGUAGAUUCUCAAGUCUAUUGGUUCUCUGGUUAAACCUCUCGAGCACACGGAUUUGACCAUUUCUAUUUCUGUAAUAAGUCUGGAAUCUAUUAGAGCUGAAGUGAUAAGGAUUCCUCUGUCGGCGUGAGUCUGAGCGAGAGUCUUGCUCUUGCUCUCUCUCUUCUCUAUGCACCCUCCUCUCACGGUGUUGUCUCCUCUCAUCACCACUCCCCCUCUGUGAGCCUGAGCUAGAGCCUUGCUCUUGCUCUCUUUCUUCCCUCUCUUCCCUUCUGCUUUGAGGUCGUUGUCUCCUUGGUUGCCACUCUUCCUCUUCUUCUUCUUCCUCCUGUCUCCUUUGGGGUCGGGGUUGUUGUUCUUGCUCCCUUUCCCUAUGAUGUUCUCUUCUUCGUUCAUGCUCUUCCUCUUGGCUUUCUUCGCUCUGACUCCUACCACGUGAAGGCUCACCAUCAUGCUUCUCCUCUCUCCUAUGCUCUCUUUCUUGCUCCUCCUGCUGGCGGG